Long non-coding RNA from Folsomia candida, 1013 nucleotides. RefSeq lists it as uncharacterized. The record is from RefSeq and is a predicted model, not a curated record. NCBI's taxonomy places the organism in Eukaryota, Metazoa, Arthropoda, Collembola, Entomobryomorpha, Isotomidae. The transcript is spliced from 2 exons.
ACUAGUUCUUCUUUCUUAACAACUCAGAAAGUCUUGAAAGCUUCACCACCGCCAUAAUUUCAUCUUCCUUACUAGUUUCCCCAUUAGAACGAAACGACUCCACUUACUACCUAUGCAUUGAACCACCAGCAGCACUUUGUCAUCUUACUCAGGUUUCUCAAAGCGACAUUUCGCCCAAAAUUCUUGAAAAGUGAACACGUCAGAGAAACAUGUAUAAUUUUACUUGUAUUGGGUUUCAUGGUGACUCUUGCUUACAUAAACCAGCCCUAAAUACGAGUCCUUCUAUAUGUACUUGCGUAAGAGCGGAGCAAGAAACAUGCUCAAGUAACAUGAACCUCCGCAGGAUGGAUGGACAAAGUAAAGCACGGCUUAUUUAAAUGUCACUUGCAAUUCCGGGGACACUGAGCAAGAUCGAGUUGACAGUCAGUGGCACGUAGACGCGAGACGUUAAGCCAAUUUCAGCAAAGAGAGAAUUGGAUUAUAAAGAAAGAAAACGUGUUAGGUUAGCAAUUUACUACUGAAAGUCAAAUUAAGCACCAACUCUUUGCUUACACACACAUCAAAGUUAUUGAGUUGAUGACAUUGUUUUAGUUCUUUAGCUCUUUAAUGAUUGAUGCAUGGAAUUCACUAAGUUGAAUUACGACGUUUUUUUGUAUAACCAAUCGUCAGUUUACGCAGUUAAUCAACAGCACAUUCAUUCCUUCUUUCAAUCCGAAAUAUUUCUUACUUACGAAAGAGUUGCCUAGUUAACGUGUCAAAUAACUCAUUUAUUUAGCUGCUGAAUAGAUUCCAAUUAACUACAAUAAUAAUAAAAUGCUCCAAAGAAUGGUACUGUACUGGGUUUGAUCUCAGAAAGAAAUUGGAGAACACAUCACAAUUUGUGUAUAAAAACCAAUAUCGAAUAUAUUUUUGUAGCUAGGGUCGAAAAUAUCGACCACGCAAGGGACAAUAAAGAAAUGUAUGCAUAAUUCUUGCUGCAAACUUAUUAAACAAGGAUCAUGCUUUAAAAUUAA